Molecule: long non-coding RNA, 240 nt
Filed under: Homo sapiens (human)
Lineage: Eukaryota; Metazoa; Chordata; Mammalia; Primates; Hominidae
Description: non-protein coding lnc-SBDS-14:1
Source: RNAcentral
CUGUCAGACAUACACUGGGUCAUGCCACCACCAGGGCUUCAGUGGAGGAAGUCACGGUGAGCCUGAAGGCCUGAUAUCACCUACCAAGAGCCUCAGGGAACCCAGCCAGCAAAGCAGCAGCGGCCUUGCUCUUAUGACAUAAAACAGUUUUUGGAGAGUGCCCAGAACCAGGGUGACAGAAAACUCUGUGAGGGUUUCAAUAAGGUGCUGAAACAGUGCAGACUUGCAAACAGAUUGGUC